Oncorhynchus tshawytscha (Chinook salmon) is the source of this 3541-nucleotide long non-coding RNA. The record is from Ensembl. NCBI's taxonomy places the organism in Eukaryota, Metazoa, Chordata, Actinopteri, Salmoniformes, Salmonidae.
GAUACACUCACCUCCACGCUAAACCCAGACCUUCACUAGAUACACUCACCUCCACGCUAAACCCAGACCUUCACUAGAUACACUCACCUCCACGCUAUUCCUUUGUUUGCUAAGCACUAUCAGUUACGAUAUAUUUAUUGUCCUAAUAUACUGUUUCAUGUCAUAGACGUGGAAAGGAAAGCCAACAAGGCACUUAAUAAAACAACUUGCGAAGGGAAUUUCAGAUGUCAGAUAUGUCAAUAUGAUGAUGGUUCCAGUGUUCAACCUGAUUUCUCUGGUCGUUCUCUGAACGGUUAAAGAAACACAAUAAGGAAUGGUGUCCAUCUUUGAACUAAUAUUUUCACACCCAAACAAACAUCUCAACGUUAUUUCACAAUGUGCCAUUACUUCCGUUUCAAGACUUUCUUAAGACAGAUAUUGUGAUUAUAGACCGUAUGAAUUAGCUACUUUAAAGACUGUAAAACAAAUAACCAAAUGUGUAAUAUAUUGUUCUAAAUUAGUACAAACAGUAUAUUACCACAGCUGACAGUCACAGUAAAUGAUCCUUAAAGGGAUAUAAUGUGGUAUUAUUGUCAUGCAUUAUUUAAUAAGGAUUUAUUUGGUAUUUCCAUAUCAAUAUUCCAUAAUCUAACAUUGACUGUAUUGCCAGUCAAUUGAAACUCUCUAUCCCAAAUGGCACCCUAUUCCCUAUAUAGUGCACUACUUUAGACCAGGGCCCUAUUCCCUAUGUGGUGGCCAACUUUAGACCAGGGCCCAUAUCUAACUCUCUAAAGGAGGAUCCUUAUUGAAACACUAAUCAUGGGCUCCUGAAGAUGCUGUAAAUCCCAUGUGUUCUAUGAUGAUAGGCCUCAUCCAGCUCUCUCACUGUGGCUACAUGGGGAUACUUUCACUCCUCUGUAGGCUUUAAGGCAGCAACAUAGCCUUCAUCACUGAAAUAUGCAUCAUUUCUAUGGCUUGUUAUUCACAGUACAGUAUGUAGAAUGUAGCUUGUACAUAGCCUUUUACAGGAAUACUUUUUGUAUCCUUUUUUUUCUCCCUUAAUAUUUCAUUAUUAUACAUUUCUACUAGUUUUUUAUUAUAAACAAAAUAUAUGUGAAUAUAUAGACAUUAGUCUUUUUGAUUUGAUUAGACCAAUGUUUGUUUUAUGUUUGUUUUUAACAUUGUUUAUUUGUUAUUAGACUAAGGUGUUGCCUGGAAAACAACUGAAGAACAAAAUAACAUGAAUUGUUGUAUGGCCUUAAAUUACUACAUACACACAGCUACAUUACAUUACUACAUACACACAGCUACAUUACAUUACUACAUACACACAGCUACAUUACAUUACUACAUACACACAGCUACAUUACAUUACUACAUACACACAGCUACAUUACAUUACUACAUACACACAGCUACAUUAUAUUACUACAUACACACAGCUACAUUACAUUACUACAUACACACAGCUACAUUAUAUUACUACAUACACACAGCUACAUUACAUUACUACAUACACACAGCUACAUUACAUUACUACAUACACACAGCUACAUUACACACAGCUACAUUACACACAGCUACAUUAUAUUACUACAUACACAGCUACAUUACAUUACUACAUACACACAGCUACAUUACUACAUACACACAGCUACAUUACUACAUACACACAGCUACAUUACUACAUACACACAGCUACAUUAUAUUACUACAUACACACAGCUACAUUAUAUUACUACAUACACACAGCUACAUUAUAUUACUACAUACACACAGCUACAUUACUACAUACACACAGCUACAUUACUACAUACACACAGCUACAUUACUACAUACACACUGCUACAUUACUACAUACACACAGCUACAUUACUACAUACACACAGCUACAUUACUACAUACACACCGCUACAUUACUACAUACACACAGCUACAUUACAUUACUACAUACACACAGCUACAUUAUAUUACUACAUACACACCGCUACAUUACUACAUACACACAGCUACAUUACAUUACUACAUACACACAGCUACAUUAUAUUACUACAUACACACAGCUACAUUACUACAUACACACAGCUACAUUAUAUUACUACAUACACACAGCUACAUUACUACAUACACACAGCUACAUUACAUUACUACAUACACACAGCUACAUUGCAUUACCACAUAAACACAGCUAUAUUACAUUACUACAUACACACAGCUAAAUUACAUUACCACAUAAACACAGCUAAAUUACAUUACUUCAUACACACAGCUACAUUACCACAUACACACAGCUAUAUUACAUUACUACAUACACACAGCUACAUUACAUUACCACAUACACACAGUUACAUUACAUUACUACAUACACACAGCUACAUUACAUUACUACAUACACACAGCUACAUUACAUUACUACAUACACACAGCUACAUUACUACAUACACACAGCUACAUUACUACAUACACACAGCUACAUUACAUUACUACAUACACACAGCUACAUUACAUUACUACAUACACACAGCUACAUUACUACAUACACACAGCUACAUUACAUUACUACAUACACACAGCUACAUUACAUUACUACAUACACACAGCUACAUUACUACAUACACACAGCUACAUUACAUUACUACAUACACACAGCUACAUUACAUUACUACAUACACACAGAUACAGUACCUAUCAAAAAUUUGGACACCUACUCAUUCUGGGGUUUUUCUUUAUUUUUACUAUUUUCUACAUUUUAGAUUAAUAGUGAAGAUGUCAAAACUAUGAAAUAACACAUACGGAAACAUAAAGGUGUUAAACAAAUCAAUAUACAUUUUUUUAUUUGAGAUUCUUCAAAGCAGCAUUUGCCUUGAUGACUACUUUUCACACUCUUGGCAUUCUCUCAACCAGCUUCAAGAGGUAGCUACCUGGAAUGCGUUUCAGUUAACAGGUGUGCCUUGUUUAAAGUUAAUUUGUGGAAUUUCUUACCUUUUUAGUUAUUACAUGAUUCCAUAUGUGUUAUUUCCUGAUUUUGAUGUCUUCACUAUUAUUCUACAAUGUAAAAAUAAAGGAAAACCAUUGAAUGAGUAAGUGUGUCCAAACUUUUGACUGGUACUGUACAUUACAUUACAUUACUACAUACACACAGCUACAUUACUACAUACACACCGCUACAUUACUACAUACACACAGCUACAUUACUACAUACACACAGCUACAUUACUACAUACACACAGCUACAUUACUACAUACACACAGCUACAUUACUACAUACACACAGCUACAUUACAUUACUACAUACACACAGCUACAUUACUACAUACACACAGCUACAUUACAUUACUACAUACACACAGCUACAUUACUACAUACACACAGCUACAUUACUACAUACAAACAGCUACAUUACUACAUACACACAGCUACAUUACUACAUACACACAGCUACAUUACUACAUACACACAGCUACAUUACUACAUACACACAGCUACAUUACUACAUACACACAGAUAACUUAUUAUGAUUGUGUUCAAGACAAGAGAGAACGCUUUGAGAAGAAAAAACCCC